RNAcentral lists this transfer RNA (59 nucleotides) under Cordylochernes scorpioides. RNAcentral describes it as "tRNA-OTHER". It matches the Rfam family "tRNA". From Rfam's summary of the family: Transfer RNA (tRNA) molecules are approximately 80 nucleotides in length. Their secondary structure includes four short double-helical elements and three loops (D, anti-codon, and T loops). Further hydrogen bonds mediate the characteristic L-shaped molecular structure. tRNAs have two regions of fundamental functional importance: the anti-codon, which is responsible for specific mRNA codon recognition, and the 3' end, to which the tRNAs corresponding amino acid is attached (by aminoacyl-tRNA synthetases). tRNAs cope with the degeneracy of the genetic code in two manners: having more than one tRNA (with a specific anti-codon) for a particular amino acid; and 'wobble' base-pairing, i.e. permitting non-standard base-pairing at the 3rd anti-codon position. Lineage: Eukaryota; Metazoa; Arthropoda; Arachnida; Pseudoscorpiones; Chernetidae. The record is from RNAcentral.
GCAUCGGUGGUUCAGUUGUAGAAACGCGGACGGCCCGGGUUCGAUUCCCGGCCGAUGCA